Molecule: RNA transcript, 816 nt
Organism: Otolemur garnettii (small-eared galago)
Lineage: Eukaryota; Metazoa; Chordata; Mammalia; Primates; Galagidae
Gene name: transmembrane protein 126A pseudogene
Exons: 1
Source: RefSeq, a predicted model, not a curated record
UAAAAGACAAAUCCCAUUGUAGCAAGUCCAUUAAAGCUCAAUUUUUUUUGCCAGAUUGAGUCACGUGUCAGCCAAAGAUGGGUGCACCCAAGAGAGUUAGACAAAGGUUGCAGUGAAUCUCGGACAUAGCUGAGGAAAAUUGAGAGGGCAGCGGCUCCUGAGAGGAGGAGAGCAUAAGGCUCACUAUGGAAAAUCAUAAACCAGAUGAUACUAAGGAAAACCAAACUUAUUUCAUUACCAUAACCAGAAAAAUUAAUCAGCUUCCAGAAACAGAAAGGAAUUUACUUGAACAUGGAUCAGUAUAUGUUGGACUUAAUGCUGCUCUUCGUGGCCUAAUAUCAAACAGUCUUCUUUGAUACACGUUGAAUGUGACAAAAGCUCAUAUUGCUGCUGGCUUACCAAUGGCAGUGCUUCCAUUUCUGACAACAGAUAUAGCUUACAGUAGUUUUGUAACUUUACCUUUGACUACAGGUGAAAUGAACCGUGAAACCUGUACUGUAACCCAGAGUGGAUUGACUGGUCUUGUUUCUGGUGGUCUGUAUCCUGUUUUCUUGGCUAUACCAGUGAAUGCUUCCCUAGCAGCCAGGUAUCAGUCAGCUCCGCUACCAGAAAAAGGAAACAUCUUAAUAUACUGGAUUAGAAUUUUUAAGCCUAUCUUUAGAAAGAUGUUAUUUCCCAUUUUGCUCCAGACUGUGUUUACAGCAUAUCUUGGAUCUAGACAAUAUAAACUACUUAUAAAGUCCCUUCAAUUACCUGAACCUGGCCUAGAAAUUCACUAAUUUUAAGCAAAUUUGUAUACACACAAAAAUAAAAUGG